RNA transcript from Olea europaea var. sylvestris, 3747 nucleotides. It is a transcript of the gene named putative disease resistance RPP13-like protein 3, with no coding region annotated. The transcript has 4 exons. The record is from RefSeq and is a predicted model, not a curated record. NCBI's taxonomy places the organism in Eukaryota, Viridiplantae, Streptophyta, Magnoliopsida, Lamiales, Oleaceae.
GUUCCUUCCUUCUUCAAUCUUCCAAAAGCAUUAAUUUCCUGAAAAGAUCCAAGCUUCUUCUCACCUUCCUUCUUCAAUCUUUCUUUCUAAUCUCUACUUCAGACCAACUUAUUGUUAUAGUAAGAUUUUCCUUUCUUUUUAAUCGAACAAAAAAUGUCUGAUGCUGCAGUGGAAUUUCUCCUAGAAAACUUGAAGCAGUUGCUUCUUUACAAUGCUAAUCUGAUUCUCGAUGUAAAGGGUCAAGUGGAAUUUCUGUACAAUGAUCUGAGUCUGUUCAAAGCUUUCCUCAAGGACUCGACCGAGAAGCGGAACAAGAAUGCCACGCUCCAAGAAAUGGUGAAACAAAUCAGAGACGUAGUUUAUGAAGCUGAAGAUACUGUGGACACGUUUGUUGCUCAGGCAGCUGUGCACAAGUCCAGGAGUAGCAUCGAGAGAGCUUUUCAUAUAUUCGAUUAUCCUGCAAAGCUUCGAAGUGUGGCCAAAAGGAUUGAGGACAUCAGGACCAAGGUGAAGGAUAUAUAUGAACACAAGAAGUUUGGGUUUGAGGCACUGCAAGAUGGGGAUGGAUCUAGAAAAUCAAAGGAGAAAAAGGCUCCCAUUGUAGAGGAAGACAAUGUGGUGGGAUUUGAAGAUGAGGCAGAAAAGGUUACUAAUCUUCUCACUGGAGGAUCGGACGAACUAGAAGUUAUAUCAAUUGUUGGUAUGCCCGGCCUUGGUAAGACAACGCUGGCAAAAAUGAUAUAUCGUGAUCCUAAAAUUGAAUAUGAAUUCUACAAUCGAGCAUGGGUUUACGUUUCUCAAGAAUAUAGUAGAAAGGAAGUGUUCCUCAAUAUUUGGGGUCAUUUUGCUAAGCCCAGUGAUGAGAUGUAUAGGAUGAAUGAGGAAAGUAUAGCUAGGGAACUUUGUGCGUUUCUGGAGAAAGGAAAGUAUUUAAUUGUCAUGGAUGAUGUCUGGACUGAAGAUGCAUGGAAUGAUCUCAAAAUUGCUUUUCCCAGAAAUAAGAAGCGAAGUAGAAUAUUACUCACUAGUCGUAUCAGGAGAGUGGCUGUGCAUGCUAACCCCACCAUGGAGCCCCAUAAUUUGCGUUUUCUAACUUCGGAUGAGAGUUGGACAUUGCUCCAAAGGAAGGCACUUGGCGGAGAGGAAUGUCCUGAUGAGUUGUUACAACCUGGAAAGCAUAUAGCCAGAGAAUGUGGUGGACUUCCACUUGCUCUAGUGGUGAUUGGAGGAAUUCUACUGGAAAAAGGUACUGAAAGUUAUUGGUGGGAUAAGGUUGCUCAAAGUGUGGAUGCAUAUCUUUCCAUGGAUCAGGAGAAACGCAUGGACAGUUUUAUAGCUUUAAGUUUUAAUCACUUACCUUAUCACUUGAGAGCAUGCUUUCUCUACUUUGGAAUGUUUCCAGAAGAUUUCCAAAUCCCGGUGUGGAAAUUGGUUCACUUGUGGAUCGCUGAAGGGUUCAUACAACAGAAGGAGGGAAUGAGCCUGGAGGAUAUUGCGGAGGAGUACUUAGAUGAUCUUGUCAACAGGAAUUUAGUCAUGGUUGGAAAACGGAGGUCAAACGGAAAAGUUAAAACGUGCCAUGUUCAUGAUAUGCUACACGUGUUUUGCAAGAAACAAGCUGCACAGGAAAACUUUUUCCAAGAAAUUAAACGGUUUGAUCGUGUUACCUAUUCAUCUUCCUACCCUGCCAUGGACAUGUACCGUCGCCUUUGCAUUCAUUCCCGUAUUUUGAAUUAUCUCUCUUCAAAACCAUCUGGUCCUCGUGUUCGGUCCUUCUUGUGUUUCUCCUCUGAAGAAAUUGUCUUGCAAGCUGAACACAUUUCCUCCAUACCUGGAGCAUUUAAAUUGCUCAGGGUUUUAGAUGCUAAACCCAUCUUGUUCACUCGUUUUCCUACUGAUCUAACUCAACUCGUUCAUUUGAGGUAUCUUGUUCUGUCAAGCAAUUUCAAGAUCCUCCCUGCUGCCAUUUCUAGCCUUUGGAACAUGCAAUCUCUUAUAGUUGAGACUUCAUCAAGAACCCUUGAAAUCAAAGGAGAUAUAUGGAAGAUGAUACAACUGAGGCAUCUAAAAACAAAUGCAUCCACAUUUUUACAUGGUCCUCUUGCUAAAUCAAGAAAAAGGAAAGAUGAUUCUUUGAUAAAUGCAAACCUAAGAACACUUUCUACAAUAUGUCCUGAAAGCUGCACAGAAGAUGUCUUCGCAAGGGCUCCUAACCUAAAGAAGUUGGGUAUUCGUGGCCGAUUAGCUAAACUUUUGGAUACCAGGGGUGCAUCUAGUUUGUUUGGUAGCCUGGGAAAAUUGGAUUACCUAGAAGAUUUGAAGCUACUGAAUGAUGUUUUUCCUGAUCCACCUUCUGAAGGCAAACUAGCUGGCCUUCCCCAAAGGUAUAACUUUCCACCAAAGCUAAAGAAGCUGACAUUGGCAGACACCCUUCUUGACUGGAAUCAAAUGGCUACAUUGGGAAUGUUGGAAAGCCUCGAGAUCCUCAAGUUAAAAGACAACGCGUUCAAGGGAGAUUGGUGGCAGCCGGAGGAUGGAGGUUUCCGUGCUCUCAAAGUUUUGUUUAUUGGAAAGACAGAUUUAGUCCAUUGGCAUGCUUCAACUCAUCACUUCCCGAGACUCAGGAGCCUUUAUCUUAAACACUGCAGUAGCCUUGAAGAAGUGCCAUUCAGCCUGGCAGAUGUUUCAAGCCUCCAGCUAAUUGACUUGUACUGUACCACCAAAUCAGCUGCUGCUUCUGCCCAGAAAAUCCAAAAGCAUAAGAAAAAGAUGAAAAAUGAGGCUGAGAAGCAAAGCACCAAACGUAUUGUAUUUAAGCUUUCUGUUUAUCCUCCAGAUCAAGAUCAAUGAUCUCCAUUAUUUCGAGCUCAGGAAUGCUGCCUUCACAGGUGGAUAAUCCCAUGAACAACAAUGCCAGAGAUGUUGAACACAAGAAGUAUGUUGCUUCUACGUCCCUAUUGUAGAGACACGUGGUGAGGAAAGGGAUUUAUGUCCAGUGUUUGUGAUGAAGGGAAGGUGCUGUAGGAGAGGUGGUGGUGGAGAGUAAAGAAGAUAGAGCGACACUUGGUGUAAAUUGAGGUUUUAUUGAAGGGAGUUGAGAAGAUAGAGCGACACUUGGAGUAAAUUGAGGUUUUAUUGAAGGGAGUUGAGAAGAUAGAGCGACACUUGGAGUAAAUUGAGGUUUUAUUGAAGGGAGUUGAGAAGAUAGAGCGACACUUGGAGUAAAUUGAGGUUUUAUUGAAGGGAGUUGAGAAGAUAGAGCGACACUUGGAGUAAAUUGAGGUUUUAUUGAAGGGAAACAUAGAUAUUUUUUGAAGGAUAAAGUUAACACGGUGAAGUUUUGCAUCCGGGGAUUUGAAAAAUAAAUAUUUUUUAUUGCAAAGUUGAAAUAUGAGUUUAUCCUUGAAUUAUUUUGUACACAUUAGGCCAGAGAUAUAUGCCAUCAGUCCAUUUAUCAGUCAACUUUUCAAGAAUGAGAGAUGGUAGAAAUCAAGGGCUGUUGGGUGCCCUGGAUGAGGGGAUUACUCCUUCAAGAAUGCUCUUUUCAAUCCCGGAUUUCUAGCAAGUCUCUUCAAAUGUUUGAUAGCAUAUUAGGCUUCUACUAGUUUGGGUGGUCAAUAUUUGUUCUGCGGUAAACAUCAGUUCUGGGUAUCAACUAUCGUCUAGUAGUGGAUUAUGGUAUAAAUUGUUGACCAAUCAAUUGGCGUUUGACAGCAUUAAAGCUUGAUUCCUUGAACCUUUUGGUAC